RNAcentral lists this non-coding RNA (36 nucleotides) under unclassified sequences. RNAcentral describes it as "DUF805b RNA". It matches the Rfam family "DUF805b RNA". Rfam says of the family: Bacteroidetes, Chlorobi (1 example), Proteobacteria. Lineage (Flavobacteria) The record is from RNAcentral.
AUGGAGUAACCCGAAAAUCCUAAGACAGAGUAGGGA